RNAcentral lists this ribosomal RNA (1354 nucleotides) under uncultured bacterium. RNAcentral describes it as "bacterial SSU rRNA". It matches the Rfam family "Bacterial small subunit ribosomal RNA", at positions 28 to 1381 of the family's 1533-position model. The record is from RNAcentral.
GAUGAACGCUGGCGGCGUGCUUAACACAUGCAAGUCGAACGAUGAACCCCAGCUUGCUGGGGGGAUUAGUGGCGAACGGGUGAGUAACACGUGAGUAACCUGCCCUUAACUCUGGGAUAAGCCUGGGAAACUGGGUCUAAUACUGGAUAUUGACUUUACCUCGCAUGGGGUUUGGUUGAAAGAUUUAUUGGUUUUGGAUGGACUCGCGGCCUAUCAGCUUGUUGGUGAGGUAAUGGCUCACCAAGGCGACGACGGGUAGCCGGCCUGAGAGGGUGACCGGCCACACUGGGACUGAGACACGGCCCAGACUCCUACGGGAGGCAGCAGUGGGGAAUAUUGCACAAUGGGCGAAAGCCUGAUGCAGCGACGCCGCGUGAGGGAUGACGGCCUUCGGGUUGUAAACCUCUUUCAGUAGGGAACAAGGCCAAUGUUUAGUUGGUUGAGGGUACUUGCAGAAGAAGCACCGGCUAACUACGUGCCAGCAGCCGCGGUAAUACGUAGGGUGCAAGCGUUAUCCGGAAUUAUUGGGCGUAAAGAGCUCGUAGGCGGUUUGUCGCGUCUGCCGUGAAAGUCCGGGGCUCAACCCCGGAUCUGCGGUGGGUACGGGCAGACUAGAGUGAUGUAGGGGAGACUGGAAUUCCUGGUGUAGCGGUGAAAUGCGCAGAUAUCAGGAGGAACACCGAUGGCGAAGGCAGGUCUCUGGGCAUUAACUGACGCUGAGGAGCGAAAGCAUGGGGAGCGAACAGGAUUAGAUACCCUGGUAGUCCAUGCCGUAAACGUUGGGCACUAGGUGUGGGGGACAUUCCACGUUUUCCGCGCCGUAGCUAACGCAUUAAGUGCCCCGCCUGGGGAGUACGGCCGCAAGGCUAAAACUCAAAGGAAUUGACGGGGGCCCGCACAAGCGGCGGAGCAUGCGGAUUAAUUCGAUGCAACGCGAAGAACCUUACCAAGGCUUGACAUGAACUGGAAAUACCUGGAAACAGGUGCCCCGCUUGCGGUCGGUUUACAGGUGGUGCAUGGUUGUCGUCAGCUCGUGUCGUGAGAUGUUGGGUUAAGUCCCGCAACGAGCGCAACCCUCGUUCUAUGUUGCCAGCACGUAAUGGUGGGGACUCAUAGGAGACUGCCGGGGUCAACUCGGAGGAAGGUGAGGACGACGUCAAAUCAUCAUGCCCCUUAUGUCUUGGGCUUCACGCAUGCUACAAUGGCCGGUACAAUGGGUUGCGAUACUGUGAGGUGGAGCUAAUCCCAAAAAGCCGGUCUCAGUUCGGAUUGGGGUCUGCAACUCGACCCCAUGAAGUCGGAGUCGCUAGUAAUCGCAGAUCAGCAACGCUGCGGUGAAUACGUUCCCGGGCCU